This 379-nucleotide ribosomal RNA is filed under the name uncultured eukaryote. RNAcentral describes it as "partial 18S ribosomal RNA". It matches the Rfam family "Eukaryotic small subunit ribosomal RNA", at positions 592 to 975 of the family's 1831-position model. The record is from RNAcentral.
CAAUAGCGUAUAUUAAAGUUGUUGCAGUUAGAACGCUCGUAGUCGGAUUUCGGGGCGGGCCGACCGGUCUGCCGAUGGGUAUGCACUGGUCGGCGCGUCCUUCCUUCCGGAGACCGUCCCUACUCUUAACUGAGCGGGGGCGGGAGACGGGACUUUUACUUUGAAAAAAUCAGAGUGUUUCAAGCAGGCAGCUCGCUCUUGCAUGGAUUAGCAUGGGAUAAUGAAAUAGGACUUUGGUGCUAUUUUGUUGGUUUCGAACACCGAAGUAAUGAUGAGAAGGGACAGUCAGGGGCACUCGUAUUCCGCCGAGAGAGGUGAAAUUCUCAGACCAGCGGAAGACGAACCACUGCGAAAGCAUUUGCCAGGGAUGUUUNCACUG